GACGAACGCUGGCGGCGUGCUUAACACAUGCAAGUCGAACGGAAAGGCCCUGCUUUUGUGGGGUGCUCGAGUGGCGAACGGGUGAGUAACACGUGAGUAACCUGCCCUUGACUUUGGGAUAACUUCAGGAAACUGGGGCUAAUACCGGAUAGGAGCUCCUGCUGCAUGGUGGGGGUUGGAAAGUUUCGGCGGUUGGGGAUGGACUCGCGGCUUAUCAGCUUGUUGGUGGGGUAGUGGCUUACCAAGGCUUUGACGGGUAGCCGGCCUGAGAGGGUGACCGGCCACAUUGGGACUGAGAUACGGCCCAGACUCCUACGGGAGGCAGCAGUGGGGAAUAGUGCACAAUGGGCGGAAGCCUGAUGCAGCAACGCCGCGUGCGGGAUGACGGCCUUCGGGUUGUAAACCGCUUUCGCCUAUGACGAAGCGUGAGUGACGGUGAUGGGUAAAGAAGCACCGGCUAACUACGUG
Molecule: ribosomal RNA, 468 nt
Filed under: uncultured bacterium
Lineage: Bacteria
Description: partial 16S ribosomal RNA
Rfam family: Bacterial small subunit ribosomal RNA
Source: RNAcentral